Molecule: non-coding RNA, 2546 nt
Organism: Dermacentor albipictus
Lineage: Eukaryota; Metazoa; Arthropoda; Arachnida; Ixodida; Ixodidae
Source: RefSeq, a predicted model, not a curated record
GCAUAGAGUUAGUAGAACAACUCUAGAGGAAAAGCUGGGCCGGAAAAGUGGGAACCUCUAGGGCGCCGCCCUGUUGCUACUGGUCAAUGUGGCCAGCGCAAUUACUAUUGAAAGAGCUGAGAACAAGUACAGGUCACCUUAUGCUUUGUCACCUAAAAACGCAUACCUGAUGGCUUUAUGAAGGUGGUACGUUAAUAUUAAGUUUACAGAAAGCGAUCGCUAAGUCCGUGACUUAUGUAAAUCACGAUGUACGCAUUCAUGCAAUAAAGGAUGACGCGAAUUUCGGUUUCGAAUCUGUUUUUUGGAUGCGUAGUAGUUUCGUUUGACAUGCGAUCGCGCGUCGACAUCGGACGCUAUGACACACUCGUGCCUUAUGUGCCACCGAAGCCCCGAAGUGGUCUGGCAUAUACCUUCACAUGUAAGUAAAUGAAUUUAUCUCCUUGUUGAGAAUAUCACGCGAGUAGGCAGCUCUUGUGGUACAUCACAAUCGUUCGAGAAGCGUCACAGUAGAGCAUUUUUCUGCAUGUGGAGCGGUGUUUUUAUUUGCAGGUUUCCCUUCAGUAGGAAAUUGCUGGACAGGCGGACCAGCGCACCGGAAUUGUACUGGCGAAGCCACAAGCAACUCAAAGAAUCUGUUUAAUUGUUGCACUUCGAACAAUCAUGCUUCUACAAAGGCCACAGCAGAAAAACAGCCUGAUGACCGAGUAUUUCUGUGCCACGAAGUAAUCAAGAGAUAUGCAAUGGCAAGCCCUUCCCUGUGUUCCAAAGACAAUGCCUACGCCUAGCCACAGCAGCUCCCUCAUACAGACUCCGCAAACCAAGAGGCCGUGGAGGCAAAUGCAGGCAGCCAGCACACCUCAAACAGCCACCUUGACUGCGGGUGUGUCACCCUAGUCGCCAAGGAAACAUUUGAGGGAAAGUGACAGGCAAUGUGAACAGCCACUUCUCCAUGUAAACAAUACUCUUUCUCUCGGAUGACUCCUACGCCUCACCACGCCAGCACACUUGUGCACAAAGAUGCCGCAGAGGCACGUGCAGGUCAGAGGCAAGAGGCAGUGGCACUGGUGUCGACAUUUACCCAAUUUCUUUCUCUCACACUGAGGCAGCCAGCACACCUCGAACAGCCACCUCGACUGCCCACCUCGACUGCGGGUGUGUUAGUUGAUCCCUGUUGUACAUAUGCUCAUAAUAAACUUCAGUAAACUUGAACUUCAUAAUAAACUUGAAGGCAAAUGGUACAUUGAUGCAUUGUAUUUUUGAACAUUUAUUGUACACAUACAAUAUAUGUUAUACUUUGCAGUGCUACAGAGCGUAUUUUGAAGCUUCCCCCUAUAUUUUGCACCUUUAAUUACGUAUGUGUUGUGUGGCCCUCAAUGCAGUUCAUGUUGUAGCAGCUGCUUUGUCUGUGUAUCGCACAUUGGCUUAAGCUCGUGAUAUCCACAUACUUCUCUCACAUAUACAAAAUAAAGUUCUAUGUAGUCCUCAGUGUUACAACAAAAAAUGAAAGUAAACAAUCCGAUCGUGUAAUUAUGUUUAUUACAGUGAUUCCUACGACAGUUACUGACAAGUUGACAACUUGAACUGGUCAAUCGGUCCAUAGCCUCCUCUAUUUUUCAAAAAUAAAGGAGGCUAUGAUCCGUCAUGGCAAGGAAUUGUAUGUAUACAUAAAAAAAGGGGGUAUGUGUGUGUUUGUAGUGGGGGUAUAGGAUUAGGGCGAUACGAAAAAAUGUACCAACACCGUCCCCUAGACCCAUUCCGUUGAGGUACCGUAACAAAACGUAUUAUGCAUAAAAUUCAUACAACCAACUCUGAUAUUACUACAGACGCCAGGCGACGCGAGCUACAUUUGUCAUGAUGCAUUCGCGACUGCACCGGAUGCCCUCCACAUUAUUCUCGUUAAUCGUGCUCACUGCGCCGAGGCAAAAGAAAGACCAUGGGCGCAGGUGCCUUUAAAGUAUCUCGACCUUGCAAGGCACGGCUGCGCGUGCCAGGGGAGCUGUCCGUGCGAACACUCCCUGGCACACACCUGCCUCGGCGGCCCCAACCUACGUACCGUUCUGCUUCGAGCUUUGAUCCCCCCACUGUCCCUCGGGUGCCCUGGAGUUCCUGCGCCGCCUGCUCUACUACCAUCUCAGGUGCUCUCCUGAGACUUCCGUUUGUCGGUUACAUGUGCCCUACAGCUGGAUCAUUACUUAUAAUAAUAAAAAACCCGAUCUAUCGUCACGAUGAUAGAUCGCGAAAGCGGCUUUUGCAACAUACCGCGCCCGUGCGAAGAUAAUUACGGAACGCCAACGAGGAAUCUGACCACAGCUUCGAGCUCGUAACGUCGUCGAGUGACACUCCUGCAACAGGCGUGACCGCUGAAAACCGCAUACCGCCAGAAGCUUGAACAGGAUCAUCCCUCGGUUGCAUAACUGCCAGCUCUACGGCCAACAUGGACCACACCCACACCAUCCCGCAACAUAGAAUAAAGAACCGACUUAUGAAGCCCAAACACACGGCUGCACGCACACAUCACAACACUUCAAGCAUAGAGAAAGCUUCAA